GGAGUCUGGGCCGUGUCUCAGUCCCAAUGUGGCCGUUCACCCUCUCAGGCCGGCUACUGAUCGUCGACUUGGUGAGCCGUUACCUCACCAACUAUCUAAUCAGACGCGAGCCCAUCUUUGAGUGAUAAAUCUUUGAUACAAACUUCAUGCGAUGUCUGUAUGUUAUGAGGUAUUACCAUCCGUUUCCAGAAGCUAUCCCUCUCUCAAAGGCAGGUUGCUCACGUGUUACUCACCCGUCCGCCACUAAGAUAAUCCAAGUAAACUCAAAUUAUCUCCGUUCGACUUGCAUGUGUUAAGCGUGCCGCCAGCGU
Molecule: ribosomal RNA, 311 nt
Filed under: Ruminococcus flavefaciens
Lineage: Bacteria; Bacillati; Bacillota; Clostridia; Eubacteriales; Oscillospiraceae
Description: partial 16S ribosomal RNA
Source: RNAcentral